UCCUACGGGAGGCAGCAGUAAGGGAUAUUGCACAAUGGACGGAAGUCUGAUGCAGCGACGCCGCGUGGGUGAAGAAGGUUUUCGGAUCGUAAAGCCCUUUUCUAUGUGACGAGAGAGGACGGUAGCAUAGGAAUAAGUGUCGGCUAACUACGUGCCAGCAGCCGCGGUAAAACGUAGGACGCGAACGUUAUCCGGAGUUACUGGGCGUAAAGCGCGCGUAGGCGGUUGGUUAAGUUACCUAUGAAAGAUACAGGCUAAACUUGUAUUGGUUGGGUAAAACUGAUUGACUAGAGAGAAAUAGAGGGAAGUAGAAUUCCGGGUGUAGUGGUGAAAUGCGUAGAUAUCCGGAGGAAUACCGGUGGCGAAGGCGGCUUCCUGGAUUUCCACUGACGCUGAGGCGCGGAAGCGUGGGUAGCGAACGGGAUUAGAAACCCCGGUAGUCCACGCCGUAAACGAUGUACAUUAGGCGUUCGGCAGCGCAAGUUGUUGAGUGUCGCAGCAAACGCGAUAAAUGUACCGCCUGGGGAGUACGGUCGCAAGGCUAAAACUCCAAAGGAAUUGACGGGGA
This 568-nucleotide ribosomal RNA is filed under the name uncultured bacterium. RNAcentral describes it as "bacterial SSU rRNA". It matches the Rfam family "Bacterial small subunit ribosomal RNA", at positions 337 to 919 of the family's 1533-position model. The record is from RNAcentral.